GACGAACGCUGGCGGCGUGCCUAAUACAUGCAAGUAGAACGCACAGUUUAUACCGUAGCUUGCUACACCAUAGACUGUGAGUUGCGAACGGGUGAGUAACGCGUAGGUAACCUGCCUGGUAGCGGGGGAUAACUAUUGGAAACGAUAGCUAAUACCGCAUAAUAUUAAUUAUUGCAUGAUAAUUAAUUGAAAGGUGCAAUUGCACCACUACCGGAUGGACCUGCGUUGUAUUAGCUAGUAGGUGAGGUAACGGCUCACCUAGGCGACGAUACAUAGCCGACCUGAGAGGGUGAUCGGCCACACUGGGACUGAGACACGGCCCAGACUCCUACGGGAGGCAGCAGUAGGGAAUCUUCGGCAAUGGACGAAAGUCUGACCGAGCAACGCCGCGUGAGUGAAGAAGGUUUUCGGAUCGUAAAGCUCUGUUGUAAGAGAAGAACGGGUGUGAGAGUGGAAAGUUCACACUGUGACGGUAUCUUACCAGAAAGGGACGGCUAACUACGUG
Molecule: ribosomal RNA, 505 nt
Filed under: uncultured bacterium
Lineage: Bacteria
Description: partial 16S ribosomal RNA
Rfam family: Bacterial small subunit ribosomal RNA
Source: RNAcentral